UUUCUUAUUCUUCCUCCUCUUCGUCCUCCCAUGGUUUCUCAGUCACGAGCGACGCCUCUUCUGUCGGUGGUGUCCACAAUCUCAUAGAGCGUUAGCCUCUCGCUCGGCCGCUCGGGCUCCUUGGCGAUUCCGUUUUUCCACUGAAGAUGGAAGUUCGUUGGGGUCGAUUUGGAUCUCGAUGGCGCCAGAAAUUCAACGGCUGUCAAUGGUAGUCGAUCGGCGAGGUGGUUCUGGUCCUUUUUUUCAAAUCGCAGAAGAACUACAGGUCGCAGAAGAGGUCGUAUCCCUUCUUUCAUUUUUUCCUUAUUCUUCCUCCUCUCCGUUUGGAAGAGGGUUUUUAUUUUAAAUCACUAUUUUGAUUCUCUGUGUUUUAUGAUAAAUUCUAUUUUAUUUUUUCUGUUUGGAAAUCGUUGGAGUUUUUUAUUUUGGUUAAUUUUGAGUUUUAUAAUUUUCUGCGUAGUUUUUUAAUAGUUUGUUUUAUUGUUAUUAGGUUGAGACCAGAGUGCAGAGUGCAGAACUCUUGGAAAAGUUUUUUGUUGUGUUAUUGAGCGGCUGUUAAUGGGAGCUGAUCGGUGAGGUGAUUCUGGUCUUUUUUUUGGGUUGCACAGGAACUACAGGUCGCACAAGAGGUCAUUUUCCUUUUUUCUCGAUGUUUGUGAUUUUCCGUGAUUUUGAUUUGUUUUAUAGUUCGUUUGUUUUUUAAGUUUGUGGAGGGAUUUUUGUUGUCUUAUUUUUGCCCUUUAUCUGAUUCUGGUCUUUUUUCAGGUUGCAUAGGAACUACAGGUCGUACAAGAGUUCGUUUUCCUUUUUUUUUCAAUGUUUGUGACUUUCUGUGAUUUUGGUUUAUUUUAUGAUUUUUAAGUUUGUGGAGGAGUUUUUGUUGUGAUAUUUUUGUCCUUCAUCUGAUUAUCAUUUCUUCUUGGUGUAGUUUGGUUUGAUAUUUGAGAUUGGCUAUGAUCAGUGUGAUAGUGUUGAGUUUAUUUGGAAGAGGGUUGUUAUUUUAAAUCACUAUUUUGAUUCUCUGUGUUUUAUGAUAAAUUCUAUUUUAUUUUUUGUGUUUGGAAAUCGUUGGAGUUUUUUAUUUUGGUUAAAUUUUGAGUUUUAUAAUUUUCUGUGUAGUUUUUUAAUAGUUUGUUUCAUUGUUAUUAGGUUGAGACCAGAGUGCAGAGUGUAGGACUCUUGGAAAAGUAUUUUGUUGUGUUAUUGAGGUAUUUUCUGACUGAAAUUGAGGGAGCUGAGCAAAAAUCUGAGUUAGGCUGAAAAAGGACUGCUGAUGCUGUUGGAUUCUGACCUCUUUGCACUCGAAAUGGAUUUUCUGGAGCUACAGGAGUCCAAUUGGAGCGCUCUCAACGGCGUUGGAAAGUAGACAUCCAGGGAUUUUCAGCAAUAUAUAAUAGUCCAUACUUUGCGCGAAGAUAGAUGACGUAAACUGGCGUUCAACGCCAGUAUCAUGCUGCUAUCUGGCGUCCAGCGCCAGAAACAGGUUACAAGCUGGAGUUCAACGCCAGAAACAGGUUACAACCUGGCGUUGAACGCCCAAAACAGCCCCAGGCACGUGAGAAGCUUAAGCCUCAGGCCCAGCACACACCAAGUGGGCCCCAGAAGUAGAUUUCUGCACCAUUUAUCAUAGUUUACUCAUUUUCUGUAAACCUAGGUUACUAGUUUACUAUUUAAACAACUUUUAGAGAUUAACUCUGGACCUCAUGACAUUUUCAGAUCUGAAUUUUAUACAUUUU
Molecule: long non-coding RNA, 1736 nt
Organism: Arachis stenosperma
Lineage: Eukaryota; Viridiplantae; Streptophyta; Magnoliopsida; Fabales; Fabaceae
Exons: 3
Source: RefSeq, a predicted model, not a curated record